AUGCAAAAGAAGAAAGAUACGGAUAACAAUAUUUUCAAAUUGAAGUUAUUUUCGUUUUCACUUAGAGAUCGUGCUAAAGUUUGGUUUUCGUCUUUGCCUAAAAAUAGUAUUGAUUCUUGGAACAAAUGCAAAGAUGCUUUUAUCUCUAUGUAUUUUCCUCCCGCUAAGAUUAUCACUCUUAGGAACGAUAUCAUGAAUUUAAAACAACUUGAUCAUGAGCAUGUUGCCCAAUCUUGGGAAAGAAUGAAAUUGAUGCUUCACAAUUGGCCUACUCAUGGUUCGAAUUUAUGGAUGAUCAUACAAAAAUUUUAUGCCGGUUUGAACUUUGCUUCUAGAAAUCUCUUAGAUUUGGCCGCGGGAGGCACGUUUAUGGAAAUCAUGUUAGGAGAUGCUACAAAAAUUCUUGAUAAUAUUAUGGCUAAUUAUUCUCAAUGGCACACCGAAAGAUCUUCUAGUAAAAAAGCGCAUGCUAUAGAAGAAAUUAAUGUUUUGAGUGGAAAGAUGGAUGAACUUAUGAAAUUGUUUGCUACUAAAAAUACGCCUCUUGAUCCCAAUGAUAUGCCUUUGUCUUCUUUGAUUGAGAAUAAUAAUGAAUCUAUGGAUCUGAAUUUUGUUGGUAGGAAUAGUUUUGGAAACAAUGCUUAUAGAGGAAACUUUAAUGCCAGACCGUUCCCUAGUAAUUCCUCUAAUAAUUAUGGAAAUUCCUACAAUAAUUCUUAUGGUAAUUUUAAUAAGAUGCCCUCUGAUUUUGAGAAUAGUGUGAAAGAAUUUAUGAUUUCUCAAAAGAAUUUUAAUGCUUUGCUUGAAGAAAAAUUGCUCAAAGUUGAUGAUUUGGCUAGGAACAUUGAUAGACUUUCGCUUGAUGUUGAUUCUCUUAAACUUAGAUCUUCUCCUCCUAAGCAUGAUAUCAAUGAGUCUCUCAAAGUAAUGAUAAUUUCCAUUGAUGAGUGUAAGGAAAGAACCGCUAGAUUGCGUGCUAAGAAAGAUAGAUUUAUAAAAGCGUGUUCUUCUAGUUUCCAUGAAAAUAAUGAUGAGGAUCUUAAAGUUAUUGAUGCGUCUCCUAUUAGAUCUAUGUUUUGCAAUAUGAAUUUUGAUGAUUAUGAGACUGAUGAUGAAUCAACUUUGCCUAGAAGGCGUCCCAAGAAUUCAGAGUCUUUAGAUCUUGAUGCUAAAUUUGGUAAAAGUGAGAUUGGAGAGUCCUCAACUUCUAAUAACAUUGAACCUACUAUCUCGGAUUUCAAGGAAUUUGAUUAUGAUAAUUGCUCUUUAAAAGGUUGUAUUUCCUUGUUGCAAUCCGUUGUUAAUUCUCCUCAUGCUUAUAGUCAAAAUAAAGCUUUUACCAAACAUAUCGUUGAUGCCUUGAUGCAAUCUUAUGAUGAAAAACUUAAUUUGGAAGUUUCUAUACCUAUAAAACUUAAUGAUGAGUGGGAACCUACUAUAAAGAUUAGAAUUAAAGAUUAUGAGUGUUUUGCUUUGUGUGAUUUGGGUGCUAGUGUUUCCACGAUUCCGAAAACUUUAUAUGAUAUUCUAGGUUUCCAUGAUCUUGAUGAUUGCUCUUUAAAUUUGCACCUUGCGGAUUCCACCAUUAAAAGCCAAUGGGAAGGAUCAAUGAUGUUCUCAUUGUUGCAAAUAGAAAUUUGGUGCCUGUGGAUUUUAUUGUUCUUGAUAUAG
This 1671-nucleotide ribosomal RNA is filed under the name Triticum aestivum (bread wheat). RNAcentral describes it as "partial small subunit ribosomal RNA". The record is from RNAcentral. Lineage: Eukaryota; Viridiplantae; Streptophyta; Magnoliopsida; Poales; Poaceae.